Xyrauchen texanus (razorback sucker) is the source of this 653-nucleotide long non-coding RNA. RefSeq lists it as uncharacterized. The transcript has 3 exons. The record is from RefSeq and is a predicted model, not a curated record. Lineage: Eukaryota; Metazoa; Chordata; Actinopteri; Cypriniformes; Catostomidae.
AUGGGUCAACUGAUAUCAGGAUGAAGCGAUUUAAUCCAUUUAUAUUUACACAAACCUAUCGAUUUGCGUCAGAAGACAUUCAUUGGUCGAUUUGAGUCAUGUGGAUUACUUGUAUGCUGCUAAAAAUAACUUUUGUACCAUCAAAUAGCGAGCAGUCUAAUGGCAUCUGUUUACUUAUAUUGUUUUGACAAAAAGAGCUGAAAUGUGCUUAUAAAAAUCUUCACUUCGUUUCUGCUGAAGAGGGAAAGUCAUACACAUAUGGGAUGGCUUAAAGGAAUGACAACAAGGCUGUGAGGGAUAGAUGUACAGUCACUACAAUGACCCUUCCUGUCCUUCACUCUCUCACUCUCUCCUCCUUCUGCACUUCAAGCAACAUCUGGAUCUCAUUCUGUGAAAAACCAAAACAACAUGAGAAAGGGACAGAGUGAGAGAGAAAGCAGGAAAAUGGACAACGGUGAAUAAAAUUGAUGAAAAUCAAAGUGAAAGAUAAUGUGAAAAGAUAUUUAAAACUUGACUCUUGUUUCCCAAAUCCUUGAACAACAUAUAAAUUAUAGUCUGAGUUACACAGAAGACAGAAGUGUACAUACGCUCAAUAACACAUACAACUACUGUAUAUUUAAUGUAAUAAUGUUUAUUAAAACAAUAAAUAUAAA